Lonchura striata (white-rumped munia) is the source of this 172-nucleotide non-coding RNA. Lineage: Eukaryota; Metazoa; Chordata; Aves; Passeriformes; Estrildidae. The record is from RefSeq and is a predicted model, not a curated record.
GCAAGGUAUGACUCCAUCAACAUCAUGUUUACUCCUUUGCAGACCAGAGCUGCUGGUAAACUCCAGAACAGGAGACCCUUGAUCAUGUACAUGUUUCAGCCAGCCCAAAUUACCAUCAAUGGAGAGGAAAGAAGACACAGGAUGUAAAAUUGCCUAUAAAGCAUUAUGAUAU